UGGGGAAUAUUGCACAAUGGGCGGAAGCCUGAUGCAGCGACGCCGCGUGGGGGAUGACGGCCUUCGGGUUGUAAACCUCUUUCAGUGCAGAACAAGGCUCUUUGUGGGUUGAGGGUAUGCGCAGAAGAAGCGCCGGCUAACUACGUGCCAGCAGCCGCGGUAAUACGUAGGGCGCGAGCGUUGUCCGGAUUUAUUGGGCGUAAAGAGCUCGUAGGCGGUUUGUCGCGUCUGCUGUGAAAUCCUCUGGCUUAACUGGGGGCGUGCA
Molecule: ribosomal RNA, 265 nt
Filed under: uncultured bacterium
Lineage: Bacteria
Description: partial 16S ribosomal RNA
Rfam family: Bacterial small subunit ribosomal RNA
Source: RNAcentral